RNAcentral lists this ribosomal RNA (497 nucleotides) under uncultured bacterium. RNAcentral describes it as "partial 16S ribosomal RNA". It matches the Rfam family "Bacterial small subunit ribosomal RNA", at positions 28 to 507 of the family's 1533-position model. The record is from RNAcentral.
GAUGAACGCUGGCGGCGUGCCUAAUACAUGCAAGUCGAGCGAACGGACGAGAAGCUUGCUUCUCUGAUGUUAGCGGCGGACGGGUGAGUAACACGUGGAUAACCUACCUAUAAGACUGGGAUAACUUCGGGAAACCGUAGCUAAUACCGGAUAAUAUUUUGAACCGCAUGGUUCAAAAGUGAAAGACGGUCUUGCUGUCACUUAUAGAUGGAUCCGCGCUGCAUUAGAUAGUUGGUAAGGUAACGGCUUACCAAGGCAACGAUGCAUAGCCGACCUGAGAGGGUGAUAGGCCACACGGGAACUGAGCCACGGUCAAGACUCCUACGGGAGGCAGCAGUAGGGAAUCUUCCGCAAUGGGCGAAAGCCUGACGGAGCAACGCCGCGUGAGUGAUGAAGGUCUUCGGAUCGUAAAAAUCUGUUAUUAGGGAAGAACAUAUGUGUAAGUAACUGUGCACAGCUUGACGGUAACUAAUAAGAAAGCAACGGCUAACUACGUG